RNAcentral lists this ribosomal RNA (443 nucleotides) under uncultured bacterium. Its description in RNAcentral is "partial 16S ribosomal RNA". It matches the Rfam family "Bacterial small subunit ribosomal RNA", at positions 338 to 795 of the family's 1533-position model. The record is from RNAcentral.
CCUACGGGUGGCUGCAGUGGGGAAUAUUGCACAAUGGGCGCAAGUCUGACGCAGCAACGCCGCGUGAAGGAAGAAGGCUUUCGGCUCGUAAACUUCUAUCAUCAGGGACGAAAGAAAUGACGGUACCUAAAUAAUAAGCCACGGCUAACUACGUGCCAGCAGCCGCGGUAAUACGUAGGGGGCAAGCGUUAUCCGGAAUUACUGGGCGUAAAGGGUGAGUAGGCGGCGUGGUAAGCCAGAUGUGAAAGCCUUGGGCUUAACCCCGGGACUGCAUUUGAAACUGUCAAGCUAGAGUGCAGGAGAGGAAAGCGGAAUUCCUAGUGUAGCGGUGGAAUGCGUAGAUAUUAGGAGGAACACCAGAGGCGAAGGCGGCUUUCUGGACUGAAACUGACGCUGAGGCACGAAAGCGUGGGGAGCGAACAGGAUUAGAUACCCCAGUAGUC